CACUGGCUUAUUCUUCAGGGUUUUCCCAGC
This 30-nucleotide non-coding RNA is filed under the name Rattus norvegicus (Norway rat). The record is from RNAcentral. Lineage: Eukaryota; Metazoa; Chordata; Mammalia; Rodentia; Muridae.